CGUAAUUCUGGCAGUGAGAUUCAUGGAUUGAGUUGUAUUUUUUUAUUUUCAUGGAAGUUGCCAGAUUUCUUUGAAAUGGGACUGUAGUGUUUCAUCUUUCCAGCAUUAGUGUAUUAGUGUACCCCUGCCUCUCUACUAAAAGUAGCUGUUACUCUUUAACCUUGAGAAGUUUUAUGAUCUCAAACUGAUAACUAAGUUUAUUUUAAUUUACCUGUUAACUUGCCUCUUUAAAUGUUUCUUGGACAUUUGAUUUGCUGUUCUGUAGGUUGCGUUUAUAAACCAUUUAUUCAUACAUUUUUCUUUUUGGAUUGCUUGUCUUGUCAAUUUUUAACAGCUUUAAUAUGUUAAAGGUAGUAACUCCUUUGAAAAAAAAACCAACCAUUGCUUAUUUGUUGACUUUGUGUAUGCUAUUUUUCCGUUUGCAUAAUUUUAUUUUUUACAUGUUUAAAUAUGUCAGUCUAUUCUUUUACAGUUUCUGAAUUUCUAGUCUUAUUUAAGCUUCACAUAAGAUUUUUAAGUGGGGUUUUUUUUUUUAGUAUAUUUUGUAAAUAUUUUGGGAAAUUGAUUCAUUUUUUUCUUGGACGUGGAUAGCCACUUUCACAGUUGUAGAUACUGUUGGUAUGCGAGCACUUCCAGUACUCCUCUCUCACUACUUACUCACUUCAUUAGCGUCUUUUGAAGCUGGUAGUGGUCAAGUGACCUGACUCAGGUCAAGAGAAGCAAAACACUGGUAAAUGUGUUCUGACAAAACCUUUGCUUUCCUAAGAAAAAGGACAGACUUAGCUGCUGCCGUCAAUUUACCCUUCCUCCUGCCUUGUACAUGAUGUCUGGGGGAGUGACAACCUCUCAACCACAGGGGAAAAGUCAAAAGAAUCAGAGACACUGGUCCUGACAGUAUUUAGUCAACACUAGCAGCAGGUUAACUCCAGACUUCUGCUAUGUCAUAAAAAUAAACGUGUUUUGCAUAAGCCAUUCUAUUCUAGGUUUCUCUUGCACCUGAAAGUAUGCCUACUUUUAUUCAGGCAUCAAUAUUUAUAAAGUAAUCCAUCUUUUCUCUAUUAAAAUAAGUAGAAAAGACUUUUUUAAACCCCUGUAAACUAGACACUCCACACAAACCUAAGUAAGGUAGAGAGAGAAUAAAAUCACACAUUUGUAAUAAGUAAAAAGAACCACAGAUACGAGAUCAAUUAAUAGGAUCAGAAGAGAUCAUUACCUAGAGUAAAUGAAUGAUUUUCCAGCAAGAUAUAAUUGAUCAAAAUUUAAAAUGAUGAAAAACUGAAAAAAGUCAAUAACCAUAAAAGACGCUGUAAAUGUUACAGAGCAACCAUUUAAAAUGUACCAGGACCAUAGGAAAAGAUUCCUUAGAUAGGACACAUAAAUAAUGAAGUAUAAAAUUUAAAAAUGAUAAAUUUAACUUCUCAAAAUUAAAAACUCAUUCUUUGAAAGGCAUUGUUAAAAAAAUGAAAAGCGAAGACAGAAUGUGGGAGAAUAUUUCCAAUAGAUAUCUCACAAAAGAUUCGUAUUCUGAAAAUAUAAAGAAAUUUACAACCCAAUUGUAAGAAGGCGAAUAACCCAAUAAAAAAUGGCGACAAAUUCAAACAGACAUCAUGAAAGAAGAUAUGAAAUGGCGACUAAGGACAAGAAAGGAUUUUCAACAUUGGGCCAUCAGGGAACUACAAAUUAAAAUAAUAAUGAGACACAUCUAUACCCUCAUUAAAAUGACUGUAAUUUAAAUGAUUGACAGCACCCAGUGUUGGAAGCUGUGGAGCAACUAGAACUCAUACAUGAUGUGCACAAUUAUCAAAAUGCAUUGAACACAAUGGAUGCAGUUAAUUGUAUGUAAAUUUUAUCAAUAAAG
This 1858-nucleotide long non-coding RNA is filed under the name Equus caballus (horse). RNAcentral describes it as "lncRNA (ENSECAG00000047982.1)". The record is from RNAcentral. Lineage: Eukaryota; Metazoa; Chordata; Mammalia; Perissodactyla; Equidae.